GUGGAUGAAACACGGGAUUUUUAAUCCCGCGUUCCAGGUUCGAGUCCUG
This 49-nucleotide transfer RNA is filed under the name Chattonella subsalsa. RNAcentral describes it as "partial tRNA". The record is from RNAcentral. Lineage: Eukaryota; Raphidophyceae; Chattonellales; Chattonellaceae.